GCCUUUCUAGUAUCAAUUAGUACAGGUGGCUUCCAACCACCCAGUCUUGGUUAGACCCCAAGGAAAGAUA
This 70-nucleotide transfer RNA is filed under the name Bajacalifornia megalops (bigeye smooth-head). RNAcentral describes it as "tRNA-Gly". The record is from RNAcentral. Lineage: Eukaryota; Metazoa; Chordata; Actinopteri; Alepocephaliformes; Alepocephalidae.